GAGGUAAACAACCACUGUCCCAGACUGUGUAGAGAGGUAAACAACCACUGUCCCAGACUAACAGACUGUGUAGAGAGGUAAACAACCACUGUCCCAGACUAACAGACUGUGUAGAGAGGUAAACAACCACUGUCCCAGACUAACAGACUGUGUAGAGAGGUAAACAACCACUGUCCCAGACUAACAGACUGUGUAGAGAGGUAAACAACCACUGUCCCAGACUCUCAGACUGUGUAGAGAGGUAAACAACCACUGUCCCAGACUCUCAGACUGUGUAGAGAGGUAAACAACCACUGUCCCAGACUAACAGACUGUGUAGAGAGGUAAACAACCACUGUCCCAGACUAACAGACUGUGUAGAGAGGUAAACAACCACUGUCCCAGACUGUGUAGAGAGGUAAACAACCACUGUCCCAGACUGUGUAGAGAGGUAAACAACCACUG
Molecule: long non-coding RNA, 444 nt
Organism: Oncorhynchus masou masou (cherry salmon)
Lineage: Eukaryota; Metazoa; Chordata; Actinopteri; Salmoniformes; Salmonidae
Exons: 4
Source: RefSeq, a predicted model, not a curated record